AUUGAACGCUGGCGGCAGGCCUAACACAUGCCAGUCGAACGGUAACAGGAAGCAGCUUGCUGCUUCGCUGACGAGUGGCGGACGGGUGAGUAAUGUCUGGGAAGCUGCCUGAUGGAGGGGGAUAACUACUGGAAACGGUAGCUAAUACCGCAUAAUGUCGCAAGACCAAAGAGGGGGACCUUCGGGCCUCUUGCCAUCGGAUGUGCCCAGAUGGGAUUAGCUUGUUGGUGGGGUAACGGCUCACCAAGGCGACGAUCCCUAGCUGGUCUGAGAGGAUGACCAGCCACACUGGAACUGAGACACGGUCCAGACUCCUACGGGAGGCAGCAGUGGGGAAUAUUGCACAAUGGGCGCAAGCCUGAUGCAGCCAAGCCGCGUGUAUGAAGAAGGCCUUCGGGUUGUAAAGUACUUUCAGCGGGGAGGAAGGGAGUAAAGUUAAUACCUUUGCUCAUUGACGUUACCCGCAGAAGAAGCACCGGCUAACUCCGUG
Molecule: ribosomal RNA, 490 nt
Filed under: uncultured bacterium
Lineage: Bacteria
Description: partial 16S ribosomal RNA
Rfam family: Bacterial small subunit ribosomal RNA
Source: RNAcentral